RNAcentral lists this long non-coding RNA (353 nucleotides) under Panax ginseng (ginseng). Its description in RNAcentral is "long non-coding RNA (PGIN_LNC009234)". Lineage: Eukaryota; Viridiplantae; Streptophyta; Magnoliopsida; Apiales; Araliaceae. The record is from RNAcentral.
GCCUUUCCAAUGGGCAAACCACACACCAUAUAUAUAUGUUUCUUUGCACAUACAAGUUGAACCAUAGUGCCAAAAUUGGGCAUCCCCCACCACCAACAAUAGUGGCAAUUUCACAUGCAUUCGCAAUCGUAAUCAAGGAACUAUUUUUAGGAAUGAUCUUAUCCGAAAUUUGUACUUGUACUUUUUUGUUCUCUAAAACCAUAAAGAUAUUUAAAGAAACCUUCAUAAUAGGGAGCUAGCUAGGUACCAAUAUGGCAUGCCUAAACACUACAAUUUUCUUAGAUGCCAAGAAAAAAUAAUAAUCAAAUAAAAAAGGGGAAGAUUUUAUUUCAUUAUCUUCAGCUUUUACGAAG